This 5170-nucleotide long non-coding RNA is filed under the name Lathyrus oleraceus (garden pea). RNAcentral's name for it is "Pisum sativum (pea) long non-coding RNA (PSAT_LNC011709)". The record is from RNAcentral. Lineage: Eukaryota; Viridiplantae; Streptophyta; Magnoliopsida; Fabales; Fabaceae.
AAGAAGGAGAAGAAGUGCACCUGUGCUCGGUGUCGUCGCUGUCGCGUCUCCGUCGUCGUCUCCGGCAGGUAACACACCUAAUCCUUAUGCUCUGGCUUUGAUCCGCCUAUCACGGCAUUGUAUCGGGUUAGGGAGAUCGAAGCCCUAACCUGUUAGUGUUUGAUUGUGAUUGUACCGAAUUUAAUUGUUGAUGAGGUAGCUUAGGGUUCGUGCGUGUUUGCUCGCGAACUACGGGCUACGGAAGCUCUGAUUUCUCACUUCAACAAGUGGCCAUACGUAGGCACAAGGAUCCAUUCCUUGGCGAGCAAACUAAUUUAAAAUCUAUCUCCACUCCGUAUAUCUUUUGCAAGCAAACAUUCGAUAAAUAACAUACACGUAAGCGCAAGCAUCCUAGAUGGUUCACAUGGAGUACCAUGGAUGUGAGGGGUGCUAAUACAUUCCCCUUGCAUAACCGACUUCCGAACCUGUUCGUGGUUGCGACGACCACUCUUUGGGAUUUUCUCGAUAUUUUCCCUUUCCCUUGGAAUAAAUAAAAACCGAUGGCGACUCUGUAUUUUUCGCGUAACGACAACACCCUACGUGGUUUUAUUUUAUAUUUAAUUUACACGAUAAAUUAUGUGUGGGGAUUAGGGUGUUACAAAACCCACCGUUUAAAAAAAUCUUCGUAUCUGAGUCCAUACCCGCGUGGGCACCACCUAAGUACCCAUAUUCAUACUCAUUUACUUGCAUUUCUAAUAGAAAAAUGAUUGGUCAAUUAUAAUUUAUCAUUCAUUUUAAUUUUUUUAACAUUUAUAAAAAUUUGAGAAUGUUAUUGAUGAGUUAAAAAAUAAACAAAUAUUUAUAUUAAAAUGCGUAAAAAUUUAAUAGUGAUAUAUUUAAUAAAUUUGUUAGAUUAAUAUAUAUACAUAAUAAUGAAAAUAAAUAUAUAUAAAUAUAUAUAGUGCGGGUAUGGAACGGACUGAGUACUAAAAUACCUAUACUAACACUCAUACCCACUUAUUUUAGUGGAUAAUUAUCCGUGCUCAUAUCCAUUUUAUGGGAUUUUACCCUAUCCAUUAUAGGUAAAUUUUACGGAUACCGACGGCCAAUUAUAAUUAAAUUGACUGGAUCUCAAUUUUCAUUAGAAGUGUUCUCUUUCUACUCUUUCGCAUCAUUCUUUUAUCUCUUUGACAAAUCAGUUACACAUGAUGGGAUGAUGAUAACUGCUGAUAUCCUUGAAAUAUUAUUUAGAGAACAUUUCUUCACCCUCAACAUUAUCUCAGAUGUAUACAUUUAUUUAAAAGAAGAAAAAAAAAACAUGUUAAAGUGAACUUUCAGAUAAAAUAUGUCGUAAAAGUAUAUACUUCUAAAACAUUUGUAAUUUUUUUUAAGAGUUAGAAUCAUUCACAUGAACUUGUAUCCGAUGCCAUGAAGUGUUUAAUAUCCCUCUCAAGUUCCAAACGUCUUCAACUUUUUCGGGUUGAACAUUUCCUGCUGAAUCUACCUGCAAAACCAGUCCAAGGAAUUCAAUAGACAUUAUAGGAGAUUGUUUCUUACUCUUAUAUGGUGUUUCUUACACUGAUAUUCAAUGAAAAUCUACUAACGGUUUUUUCAGCCAUGAUUUGAACCAAAGACAAAAAGUUAGAAACAUGAAACUUAGCAGAAGAAACAUCAUAUACCGCUUUUGCGAUAAUCUCCGUGCUUUGUUGAAUUUCAGCUGUGACCUCAAAUAGCACCCAAGCCCAUUUGUCACAGUUUCCAUCAUCAUCUGCUGUGUAAGGAAUGUCACUUUUUUGAAACCUCGACGCUUCCAUCCAAGUUUUCCCUCCAUCAACGGACACAUCCACUCUUUCAAUGCCUCUGCCACCACCUGAUGCUGCAUAUCCACUAAUACUCACCUGAAGUUCAGGAAUCAUGUUAGAAUUAGGAUUUAAGUUCGUUUCUAAUGGACUAAACAUUAAGGCAUAAACUAACCUUUCCCGGUGUUAUCGUGGUCGUGUCUUCUAGAGAACAUAUAACACACUGCCAAAGUGAAAUCAAAAGCAUUAGUUACAAAAAUAUUUAGGUUAAAGACCUCAUGAGGGAAAUACCUGAACAGGGAAAUCCAUUUGAGGUCGCCUCGAUGACCAAUUGAUAUUUUCCCAAUUUACAGACGGAGGAAACAUUUUGUAGUCUUUUUGCACGAAAAAGCCCUGACACAUGAUAAUGUUACGGUUGGUUCCGGUACAUAGUGAAAAUAAAUUGUAAAAGAUAUUUCAGAACUAUUUUACUUCAUUACACAUCAUACCUGGCAUUCUUCUGCUAUGAUAUUGAUAGCUUCCAGCCAUUUAACAGACCGGGCUCCAAUGACACCCGGAACAACCACGCGUAAUGGAAAACCAUGAUCCCUGUUAAGAGGCUAAGGGAAAGGAACAAGAUGUUAAACUGAAAUUAGAAACUUUUUCUUAUAAUCAAGUCCAGACGGAGUAUUCACUUACUUCUCCAUUCAUCUCAUAAGCAAGUAAAACAUCUGCUUCAGGAUUUGUAGCCUGGCUGAGUGUAAUUGAUGCCUUGUAUGGUCCUCCAUUUUCCUCCUUACACUGAUCAAUGCUUACAAAUUCAACAUAUUUUCCUCCAUAUUUAGUUGUAUUCGUCAACUUCGGUAUUCCAACAAGUUCAAGAACAUCAGUCAAUUUGGCACCACCCCAAACCGCUGGAGAAAAAUUUAAUCAAACACCAAUUAAAGGUAAACGUGUUAGAAGUUAAAUUUUCAGCUCUCAAUUUUUUUCACAUAUUUGAACAGAAAAAUACAAACAAGUAAACAAUAUAAUUGUAAUAUAUUGUAUAAAACACAAUAGAAAUACUAAUGCUGACAAAAUUCAGAUAGAAAAACUUCAAGAGUAAUAGAGUUCUAAACUACAGUCCACAGUGCAUCACAACGGCAAUCGUGGCCAUUUGACCGCAACAUGUAGGUCUGCAGUUUAACUUUAACUGCAGCUGCAAUUUUAAACCAUGCCAAGAAUAAUGAAAAUUUAUGCAAUCAUUCACAAUUUCACAUGCUGUUGAAAGAAUCAAACCCCAAAAUGUAUAAAUACUAACCAUUCCCAAUAGCAGAAACACCCCAUCCAACACCCUUAACUGUUUUAGUUUUGCUCAUAGCAGUCCUUCUAUUUCCUGCACACUGAAAACACCACAGAGAAAGAAAAAUCAAAUUCAAUUUCUGGAUGCAACACAUAUAAAACCAAAACCAUGUGGUUCUUCCAUGCAACCCUAUAUCAUAUCUGAUAAAUAAUUAGUAUAUGGACUUAUAUUUAACCAACCUGUAGUGUGGAAGUGACAUUGUACUUGGGAAGUUUCCUGUUAUAAUCAAAUAACAAUGUAUAAACACUAGUUAUUGGAGAACACAUAUAGGAAUCAAAUUGAAAUAUUAGUCUGGAGAACCAAUGGUUGCCGAUAUUUAUAUUAUUUUUAAUAAUCUGAGAUUCCUAAACAAGCACCAACCUGAUAUCUUCCAUAAAAAGCUGUUUGGGAUUUUCUAUCAAGCCAGAUAUGGAUACACUAUAUCUGCUCUGCCAAACAUGUCAUGAAAAAAAAGAGGUUACAAUUCAUUCACAGUAAACAACUUUGACCAAAGAAGUAUUAUAAUUUCACAAGAUUAAUAUAUCACUUUUCUAUGUCAUCGACUAUCGGUAUCGGGCCAUGAUUUCUCUUGUAGAACAAAUCUGCAGGAGUCAAAUAGGAUGAAAUCAAGGCAGAACGUUGUGGCUCAGCAUUGAAAGGUUCCUGAGAAGCAACAUAAAUUAGAAUGUAUAUAUUCUAUGGUAGAACAAAUUUGGCAACAAAAUAAAAAGGAAAUAAUGAAAAGGGAAUUUGAGGUUACCUUGGAGUUAAUUUGAAGAGAGUUGUGGCGAAUAGGUUCUUUGGAAUAAUCUGAAGGGCCUGUGAUUCCUGGCAUUGUUGUCAGAAAGAAAUCAAUUCAAGGUUUGGUUUGAAGAUGGUGGUAAUAAUAACAACCACAGCUUCCAAUUUCUACAUGAAAUUUAUAACACGCACCAUUAGUGCAGGAUGAUAAUGGUGGGUCCCAUUUAGACAUAUAUGAUGGACACGUGGAACACUUGCAUUAUGCUGACAUGUUAUUUGGCAUUUUUCGUUAACCACUUUCAUUCCUUACCAUUGGUUUGUGAUUGUUUUGUCUGUUUCUUCACUUACCCUGCUAUCUUUUUCCUUUUCUUAUUAGUCUUUAAUUUGGUACUACUAGUAUUGAUUUAUUAAUUGAUUAACUUGUAUCCCUCAGAAAAAGCAAACAACCUUGUAUCUCACCGGUUUUGUUGUGUUUGUUCACUUAGUUGUUUUAAGAAUCUCGUACCUGACUGCUUUUUUGUCUAUGUUCGUUUUCUUUCCCUUUUGAAAAAGAAUGAGUUUAUUAGGAUUGCACUUUUAGUGUAAGCCAACUUUACACAAGUGUCCAAUGAAAAUUCAUCAUUUUAAUGACAUCCAAUGACUAAAUUUCAUAAUUUGAAACUUUUAUUAAAAAAUAUUAAUUAUAAUAUUAAAUUUAUUUUUCAAUUCACUUGAAUUAAUUGAUGUUCAACUCACUUUUAAAUCAAAUCAUUUUUAUAAAAUUGAUUAAUUCAUAAUCAAUUUCACCAGACGUAAAUCCAAACACCCUUGAUAACUUAACAUGGAAAGCCCUUUUGUUAAGUUUAUAUCAAAUUCUAAUAGAUCAUAUCAAUUACUUAUUCAUACAAUGUUUAUACAGGGUACAGCACUUAAAUCUUUUAAUCAUGGAAUUUACAUAAGAGUUUCUAACUUGUCUGAUAAUAUACAAGUAAUUAUUUGUUUUCAAAGGGCAGUGUUUCUAGUAAAAACACAAUCCCUCUUAUAAUCAAAAUUCUACUUACAGCUUGACCAAUAUAGUAACAAUCAAAAUGAAUAUACAUGUAUCGAUUUACUGAUCUGAGGUAUUAGUAUGAGGUGAUAGUUUUGCAGCAGCUGUAGAUCCAAAAUAAGUUAAACUUUAUUGUUUUGCAGAACCUUUCACCAUUGCUACAUUAAAGGCAAAUAAAAAACAGUGAGAAAUGAAAUUGCUAUCCAGUACAAGUACUCCCAAUGAUAAUGGUAUCAAACAAAUAAACAUCGAAUUUAUUACAAGUACAAGGCAGAGUUUUUCUAAGACAAACAUUACUUACAUGCAUGACUUCUUAAGUACUUC